GGAGGGCUACGGUAAUUGGCAACCGGACGGUCUUGAAAAUCGUUGCCCGAAAGGGCUUGUGGGUUCGAGUCCCACGCCCUCCG
This 83-nucleotide transfer RNA is filed under the name Actinomycetota bacterium. Its description in RNAcentral is "tRNA-Ser". It matches the Rfam family "tRNA". Rfam says of the family: Transfer RNA (tRNA) molecules are approximately 80 nucleotides in length. Their secondary structure includes four short double-helical elements and three loops (D, anti-codon, and T loops). Lineage: Bacteria; Bacillati; Actinomycetota. The record is from RNAcentral.